Non-coding RNA from Salmo salar (Atlantic salmon), 1054 nucleotides. The record is from RefSeq and is a predicted model, not a curated record. Lineage: Eukaryota; Metazoa; Chordata; Actinopteri; Salmoniformes; Salmonidae.
GGAAUUGAAUACCACUCCAGGUAGCAGGUAGAAGAUUGUGCCUCUAGCAGUGGCUGAGCAGUGUGAGUUUGUGUGUUUGACCUUUACCGCAGAAUGUUACUGUUAUUGUCUCUGCCAGGAGGGGACAACGGAAGCUUAUGAAUUGGCAGCGAUCUUGCUAGCAAGCUGACACUGGCUGAGAACCAACUUACCAACCAUAGACGAUUCAUCAUUGCUACCAACACACAAACAGAGGGGGACAUUGCAGUGUUAAAAAAAUGGACACCCCUCUGUAUGGUCAGCCUAGUCAAUGGGGGACGCAGCUGAAGAGAACUCCGGUAAGCAAGAUGGAAGGACAUCUGACAAGAAGCUUGACAGACCUGAGUCAGGUUGGGACCAACAUGGUUGAGUACCUGCACCAGGUGGAGGUGACCAGACCCCACCCAUUUGUGUUGGCUCUUGAGGACUGCUCACGGGUGUUUACAGUCAUUAGUGGACCGGCAUUGGAGCAAGGUACACUGCUUGGGGCACUGGAUGUGUGCUUCAAGUCCUACUGUGUUUAAUAUCAACUUUCCCAUUGUGCCCCAGCAUGGGAAUUCCUACAGACCAAGGUGUAUCAGCUGCCAGGAACAGAAUCCUCCGUAAGGCUGUCUUUUUUUCUACUGAACAAUAGUGGAUAAGUAUCUGCUCUUGUAUGUAGUGGGAGAAGUGAACGGAGGAAGCACAUGUGUUCCUGUGAAUUAAUAGAUCAGUGGAUGGAUGAGACAUGAGCGUCACAUUCCAAUGCUAAUAUGCUCUUAUGGCACUAUUUAUAGCUCUGUUAAAAGUACUUUUCGUUUGUUUUUUAAUGCAUUUGUGCCUGCUUUUUGCCAACAGUAUGGUAUGUGGCUCGUUUCACAUUAGUUCAACUACUGAAGCGUGCUCUGGUAUGCUUUCAUUCUAUCACAACUAUUUAUUAUAAAUACAAAUGUUACAUUUUUGGGAUUGUGAAAAGUGCUUUAUGAAUGAAAUAUAUAGUUGAUGUCGGAAGUUUACAUACACUUAGGUUGGAGUCAUUAAAACUUGUUUUUAAACC